UACGGAGGGUGCAAGCGUUAUCCGGAUUUACUGGGUUUAAAGGGUGCGCAGGCGGGUAUGUAAGUCAGUGGUGAAAUCUCCGGGCUUAACCCGGAAAUUGCCGUUGAUACUAUAUAUCUUGAAUGCUGUGGAGGUAAGCAGAAUAUGUCAUGUAGCGGUGAAAUGCUUAGAUAUGACAUAGAAUACCUAUUGCGAAGGCAGCUUACUACGCAGAUAUUGACGCUCAUGCACGAAAGCGUGGGGAUCAAACAGG
This 253-nucleotide ribosomal RNA is filed under the name uncultured bacterium. RNAcentral describes it as "partial 16S ribosomal RNA". It matches the Rfam family "Bacterial small subunit ribosomal RNA", at positions 524 to 776 of the family's 1533-position model. The record is from RNAcentral.